AAACUUUCAACAACGGAUCUCUUGGUUCUGGCAUCGAUGAAGAACGCAGCGAAAUGCGAUAAGUAAUGUGAAUUGCAGAAUUCAGCGAAUCAUCGAAUCUUUGAACGCACAUUGCGCCCGCCAGUAUUCUGGCGGGCAUGCCUGUUCGAGCGUCAUUU
This 158-nucleotide ribosomal RNA is filed under the name Madurella pseudomycetomatis (nom. inval.). RNAcentral's name for it is "Madurella sp. 'pseudomycetomatis' 5.8S ribosomal RNA". It matches the Rfam family "5.8S ribosomal RNA". Rfam says of the family: 5.8S ribosomal RNA (5.8S rRNA) is a component of the large subunit of the eukaryotic ribosome. It is transcribed by RNA polymerase I as part of the 45S precursor that also contains 18S and 28S rRNA. Functionally, it is thought that 5.8S rRNA may be involved in ribosome translocation. The record is from RNAcentral. Lineage: Eukaryota; Fungi; Ascomycota; Sordariomycetes; Sordariales.